This 274-nucleotide ribosomal RNA is filed under the name uncultured bacterium. Its description in RNAcentral is "partial 16S ribosomal RNA". It matches the Rfam family "Bacterial small subunit ribosomal RNA", at positions 523 to 796 of the family's 1533-position model. The record is from RNAcentral.
AUACGGGGGGUGCAAGCGUUAAUCGGAAUUACUGGGCGUAAAGCGCGCGUAGGCGGUUUGCUCAGUCGGAUGUGAAAGCCCAGGGCUCAACCUUGGAACUGCAUACGAUACUGGCAAACUAGAGUGUGAGAGAGGAUAGUGGAAUUUCCGGUGCAGCGGUGAAAUGCGUAGAUAUCGGGAGGAAAAUCAGUGGCGAAGGCGACUGUCUGGCCAAACACUGACGCUGAGGUGCGAAAGCGUGGGUAGCAAACAGGAUUAGAUACCCCAGUAGUCC